This 516-nucleotide ribosomal RNA is filed under the name uncultured bacterium. RNAcentral's name for it is "bacterial SSU rRNA". It matches the Rfam family "Bacterial small subunit ribosomal RNA", at positions 8 to 518 of the family's 1533-position model. The record is from RNAcentral.
AGAGUUUGAUCAUGGCUCAGGAUGAACGCUGGCGGCGUGCCUAACACAUGCAAGUCGAACGAAGCUUGGGGAACGGAGAUUCGUCGAAGAGAACCAAGACUUAGUGGUGGACGGGUGAGUAAUGUAUGAGCAACCUGCCUUUCAGAGGGGGGACAACAGUUGGAAACGACUGCUAAUACCGCGUAACGUAUGACGGGGGCAUCCCUGACAUACCAAAGGAGCAAUCCGCUGAAAGAUGGGCUCAUAUCUGAUUAGCUUGUUGGCGGGGUAACGGCCCACCAAGGCGACGAUCAGUAGCCGGACUGAGAGGUUGAACGGCCACAUUGGGACUGAGAUACGGCCCAGACUCCUACGGGAGGCAGCAGUGGGGAAUAUUGGGCAAUGGGCGAAAGCCUGAACCCCAGCAACGCCGCGUGAAGGAAGAAGGUCUUCGGAUUGUAAACUUCUUUUAUGAGGGACGAAGGACGUGACGGUACCUCAUGAAUAAGCCACGGCUAACUACGUGCCAGCAGCCGC